RNAcentral lists this ribosomal RNA (423 nucleotides) under uncultured bacterium. RNAcentral's name for it is "bacterial SSU rRNA". It matches the Rfam family "Bacterial small subunit ribosomal RNA", at positions 207 to 622 of the family's 1533-position model. The record is from RNAcentral.
AAGACCUUGCGCUUUUGGAGCGGCCGAUGUCUGAUUAGCUUGUUGGUGAGGUAAAAGCUUACCAAGGCUUCGAUCAGUAGCUGGUCUGAGAGGACGGCCAGCCACACUGGGACUGAGACACGGCCCAGACUCCUACGGGAGGCAGCAGUGGGGAAUUUUGGACAAUGGGCGCAAGCCUGAUCCAGCAAUGCCGCGUGCAGGAAGAAGGCCUUCGGGUUGUAAAGCUCUUUCGGCCGGAACGAAAUCGCAUCUCCUAAUACGGGGUGUGGAUGACGGUACCGGAAGAAGAAGCACCGGCUAACUACGUGCCAGCAGCCGCGGUAAUACGUAGGGUGCGAGCGUUAAUCGGAAUUACUGGGCGUAAAGCGUGCGCAGGCGGCUCUUCAAGUCAGAUGUGAAAGCCCCGGGCUUAACCUGGGAACU